AGAAUCAACGCUGGCGGCGUGCCUAACACAUGCAAGUCGAACGCGAAAGGGACUUCGGUCCUGAGUAGAGUGGCGAACGGGUGAGUAACGCGUGGGUGACCUACCCUCGAGUGGGGGAUAACGUUCCGAAAGGGACGCUAAUACCGCAUGACAUUCCGGGUUUGAAGACCUGGAAAUCAAAGCCGGGGACCGCAAGGCCUGGCGCUAGAGGAGGGGCCCGCGUCUGAUUAGCUAGUUGGUGUGGUAACGGCUCACCAAGGCUCCGAUCGGUA
Molecule: ribosomal RNA, 272 nt
Filed under: uncultured bacterium
Lineage: Bacteria
Description: partial small subunit ribosomal RNA
Rfam family: Bacterial small subunit ribosomal RNA
Source: RNAcentral